RNAcentral lists this ribosomal RNA (468 nucleotides) under uncultured bacterium. Its description in RNAcentral is "partial 16S ribosomal RNA". It matches the Rfam family "Bacterial small subunit ribosomal RNA", at positions 28 to 507 of the family's 1533-position model. The record is from RNAcentral.
GACGAACGCUGGCGGCGUGCUUAACACAUGCAAGUCGAACGGAAAGGCCCUGCUCUUGUGGGGUGCUCGAGUGGCGAACGGGUGAGUAUCACGUGAGUAACCUGCCCUUGACUUUGGGAUAACUUCAGGAAACUGGGGCUAAUACCGGAUAGGAGCUCCUGCUCCAUGGUGGGGGUUGGUAAGUUUCGGCUGUUGGGGAUGGACUCGCGGCUUAUCAGCUUGAUGGUGUGGUAGUUGCUUACCAAGGCUUAGACGGGUAGCCGGCCUGGGAGGGGGACCGGCCACAUUGGGACUGAGAUACGGACCAGAAGCCUACGGGAGGCAGCAGGGGGAAAUAUUGCGGAAUGGGGGGAAGCCAGAGGCAACGACGCCGCGUGCGGGAUGACCGGCUUCGGGUUGAAAACCGCUUUCGACGGUGACGAGGAGGGAGUGACGGUAAUGGGUAAAGAAGCAACGGCUAACUACGUG